AUCGCUUCUCGGCCUUUUGGCUAAGAUCAAGUGUGUAAAAAGUACAUCACAAUUUUUUCUUAAGCGUGUGUGUGUGUGUGUGUGUGUGUGUGUGUGUGCGCGCGUGUGUGAGUGUGUGCCCUCACGCAUGCUCGCAUGCACGUG
Small nuclear RNA from Rattus norvegicus (Norway rat), 144 nucleotides. Ensembl annotates it as U2 spliceosomal RNA. Lineage: Eukaryota; Metazoa; Chordata; Mammalia; Rodentia; Muridae. The record is from Ensembl.